AUGAACGCUGGCGGCGUGCUUAAUACAUGCAAGUCGAACGGAGACAGUAGUAAUAUUGUCUUAGUGGCGAACGGGUGAGUAACGCGUUGGUGACCUGCCCCGAAGAGGGGGAUAACAGUUCGAAAGGACUGCUAAUACCCCAUGUGGUCAUUUGGAUUAGAUGCCUUAUGACAAAACGGAUUUAUUCGCUUCGGGAGGGGCCUGCGUCCCAUCAGCUAGUUGGUAAGGUAAUGGCUUACCAAGGCGAUGACGGGUAGGGGACCUGAGAGGGUGGCCCCCCACAAUGGAACUGAAACACGGUCCAUACACCUACGGGUGGCAGCAGUAGGGAAUAUUGGUAAUGUGCGAAAGCGCGAACCAGCAACGCCGCGUGUGCGAUGACGGCCUUCGGGUUGUAAAGCACUUUUUAAGAGGAUGAGGAAGGACAGUACUCUUAGAAUAAGCCUCGGCUAACUACGU
This 459-nucleotide ribosomal RNA is filed under the name uncultured bacterium. RNAcentral describes it as "bacterial SSU rRNA". It matches the Rfam family "Bacterial small subunit ribosomal RNA", at positions 29 to 506 of the family's 1533-position model. The record is from RNAcentral.